Small nuclear RNA from Lycium barbarum (goji berry), 105 nucleotides. Lineage: Eukaryota; Viridiplantae; Streptophyta; Magnoliopsida; Solanales; Solanaceae. The record is from RefSeq and is a predicted model, not a curated record.
UUGAGAGCUUACCUAGCCUCGAUAAAAUUGGAAAGAUACAGAGAAGAUUAGCAUGGCCCCUACGAAGGGAAAAGAAAGGAAAAAAAAAAAAAAAAAAACUUACCU